AGUAAGAUAGACUAAGGGGAAAGUCCUCGAGUCCAUGUCUCGAAAAUGUGAGUUCAAGUCUUGCUCUUACGG
Molecule: transfer RNA, 72 nt
Filed under: Psammocora nierstraszi
Lineage: Eukaryota; Metazoa; Cnidaria; Anthozoa; Scleractinia; Rhizangiidae
Description: tRNA-Met
Rfam family: tRNA
About the family: Transfer RNA (tRNA) molecules are approximately 80 nucleotides in length. Their secondary structure includes four short double-helical elements and three loops (D, anti-codon, and T loops).
Source: RNAcentral